Molecule: unclassified non-coding RNA, 294 nt
Filed under: Hevea brasiliensis (rubber tree)
Lineage: Eukaryota; Viridiplantae; Streptophyta; Magnoliopsida; Malpighiales; Euphorbiaceae
Source: RNAcentral
AGGCGGCCGUGUUCAUGGACGGCGUCGAGAAGGUAAGCGACCUCAAGCCCGGCAUGGUGCUCGAAGGCGCGGUCACGAAUGUCGCCGCGUUCGGCGCAUUCGUCGAUGUCGGCGUGCAUCAGGACGGCCUNNNCAUAUCUCGGCGAUGUCGCGCACCUUCAUCAAGGACCCGCGCGAUGUGGUGAAGCCGGGCGACAUUGUGCGCGUCAAGGUUCUGGACGUGGAUGUUCCGCGCAAGCGCAUCGCGCUGACGCUGCGCCUCGACGACGAGAUCGGGCCGGCCUCAGACCGCGC